UUGAGCAUUGUUCUUAAUUAGAUUUUGUGAUUCAGAUUUGUGCAUGAUGAAGACACAAGCAAGCGAACCCGUCAUUCCAUCUCAAAGUGAUAAUGAUAAAGGGUAUCCACUACACCAACCACCACACCAACCACAACCACCACACCAUUCCCCACCCCACCAAGCACCACCACCACACCACCACCACCAUCGACACCACCCACGUCACUCGCCACCACCACACCAAGCACCACCACCACACAUAGCACAACCACAAUUCCGUCGAGCACCACCUCCACCUUAUUGAGUCAUCUUUUUCUUCGGAUGCAAUUUGUCAUCUUUUUACUCUUAUGUAUUCUUAGUUCUUAAUAAAGUAUGAUUAUUUUGUUUCAUGUCUCAUGAUGUUCCUAUAUUAUAUCACAUCUUCGGAGACAAAUGGGUUACAAAACUAAAAUAAAGAAAAAAAAUUGGUUAGUUUUUAAAAAAAUACUCACUACAAAUGUGUAAUUAAUUGAUCUCAAUAUAUAUAUAUAUAUAUAUAUAUAUAUAUAUAUAUAUUAAUUACAGAAAAGAAAAAUAAUUUUGAAAUAUUUGAAGAAAACUGAGAUCAUGAAAAACACAAACUAUACAAUAAAAAUAAAACUAUAAAAACUAAUCAAACUAAGAAAGUACACUAAGAGAUAAAAAAAGAAAUAUAGAAAAAAGAAGACAACAAAAACCUAGAAAAGUAAUUUAAAUAACAUAUUAGAAUUAUUAAAAUAAAUUAUUCAAACGGUACAAGAGUAUUAUUAAACUAAAAAUCACAAUUGAUAUGAAAAGAAAAACAUGAAGUAUUGCAUUAAUUUGUCAAACUAAUAAAAUAAAAUAAAUAAUUUUAUGUCUAAACCUUAUCAUUUUAAGAAAUUUGAUACACCUUUAUUUUUUCCAACUUUCUUUAACCAUUUACACUUGUUAUGACCUCUGUAUGUCUUGGUCAAAUGUUAUUUAAAACAUUGGACAUAUGUCUAAUUAUCAAGAAUUGUGAUAGAAAACUGACAAAAACUAACAAAAAGACAUUGCACUAAAGACAAAUAAGAUAUAAUCAAUGAAAGUCUUUAUAUUAAACAAGUUUGGUUGUCAUUAAUAUAUAAUAAAAUACCAACAUUAAUUAAUCAAGAACAACUCAAUAAUUAAUUGGAUAAUUCCAAUAUUUUUUUUACAAUAUUUUAACAUCAUUUAUGUGUAAUUAUGUGAUUAAUCCAUAGUGGUGUUUAUAAUUAUUAUUAUUAUUGAUUAUGGAGUAAUUUUGGAUCAAUCAGAAAAUGACAUAAUGUUAAAAUAUUGUUAAAAAAAUAUUAUCAAAGUAUCAUUUUCCUAAUUUAAAUUAGACAAAACUCGAAGUAUAAAAUAUGCAAAAUUGCUCAUUUUUACAUUACAUAUUUUGAUUUCUUAUGAAAUCAUAUCGUUAACAUUGCUUUUGUGGACAAUUUGAGUUACUUUUUUAUUUGGAAAAUUGGUUGAGCAUUGUUCUUAAUUAGAUUUUGUGAUUCAGAUUUGUGCAUGAUGAAGACACAAGCAAGCGAACCGGUUAUUCCAUCUCAAAGUGAUAAUGAUAAAGGGUACCCACUACACCAACCACCACACCAACCACAACCACCACACCAUUCCCCACCCCACCAAGCACCACCACCACACCACCACCACCAUCGACACCACCCACGUCACUCGCCACCACCACACCAAGCACCACCACCACACAUAGCACAACCACAAUUCCGUCGAGCACCAG
RNAcentral lists this long non-coding RNA (1747 nucleotides) under Vigna radiata. RNAcentral describes it as "long non-coding RNA (VRAD_LNC004158)". Lineage: Eukaryota; Viridiplantae; Streptophyta; Magnoliopsida; Fabales; Fabaceae. The record is from RNAcentral.